Molecule: ribosomal RNA, 406 nt
Filed under: uncultured bacterium
Lineage: Bacteria
Description: partial 16S ribosomal RNA
Rfam family: Bacterial small subunit ribosomal RNA
Source: RNAcentral
AUCGAACGCUGGCGGCAGGCCUAACACAUGCAAGUCGAGCGAGCGGCGGACGGGUGAGUAAUGUCUGGGAAACUGCCUGAUGGAGGGGGAUAACUACUGGAAACGGUAGCUAAUACCGCAUACCAUCAGAUGUGCUCAGAUGGGAUUAGCUAGUGGGUGGGGUAAUGGCUCACCUGGGCGACGAACCCUAGCUGGUCUGAGAGGAUGAACAGCCAAACUGGAACGGAGACACGGUCCGGACGCCGACGGGAGGCAGCAGUGGGGAAUAUUGGACAAGGGGCGCAAGCCGGAUGCAGCCAUGCCGCGUGGGUGAAGAAGGCCUUCGGGUGGUAAAGCACUUUCAGCGGGGAGGCGUUACCCGCAGAAGAAGCACCGGCUAACUCCGUGCCAGCAGCCGCGGUAAUUC